Molecule: ribosomal RNA, 582 nt
Filed under: Triticum aestivum (bread wheat)
Lineage: Eukaryota; Viridiplantae; Streptophyta; Magnoliopsida; Poales; Poaceae
Description: partial small subunit ribosomal RNA
Source: RNAcentral
AUGCGGCACGUCUUCAUCCGCGCCGGCGCCGCCGCCGUCAAGACCACCGACUACUUCAACCAAGCCUACGGCCCUACCUACUACGUCUGCCGCUUCCAGGAGCCCGGGGUGGCGGAGAAGGAGUUCGCGCCGGCGCACGCGAGGCACCUGAUGACGCGGAUCCUGAGCGACCGCUUCAGCGAGCGCGCGGCCGGCAAGGAGCCCAAGGACGGCGGCGACGACGCCGACGUGGCGCUCCCGCCGUGGCUCACGGAGGCGGACAUCGACUACUUCGCCGCGGCCUUCGAGAAGACGGGCUUCACGGGCGCCAUCAACUACUACCGCAACAUGGACCGGAACUGGGAGCUGGCGGCGCCGUGGGCGGACGCCAAGGUGACGGUGCCGACCAAGUUCAUCGUGGGGGACGGGGACCUGACGUACCACUACGCCGGGAUCCAGGACUACCUGCACAAGGGCGGGCUCAAGGCGGACGUGCCGCUGCUGGAGGAGCUGGUCGUCGUCCCCGGCGCCGGCCACUUCAUCCAGCAGGAUCGGGCGCAGGAGGUCAGCGACCACAUCCACGACUUCAUCGCCAAGUUCUAA